Molecule: ribosomal RNA, 274 nt
Filed under: uncultured bacterium
Lineage: Bacteria
Description: partial 16S ribosomal RNA
Rfam family: Bacterial small subunit ribosomal RNA
Source: RNAcentral
AGACGGAGGGAGCAAGCGUUGCUCGGAAUUACUGGGCGUAAAGGGCGUGUAGGUGGGAUGGUAAGUCGGAUGUGAAAGCCCCGGGCUCAACUCGGGAAGUGCAUUCGAUACUACUGUUCUUGAGUGUGGUAGGGGAGAGCGGAAUUCCCAGUGUAGCGGUGAAAUGCGUAGAUAUUGGGAAGAACACCUGUGGCGAAGGCGGCUCUCUGGACCAUUACUGACGCUGAGGCGCGAAAGCCAGGGGAGCAAACGGGAUUAGAAACCCGGGUAGUCC